GAAGAAGCUAAAUGGGCCUCAAUAAAAGAAUCGAUAAAAAAGAAUUGAUACAAAAAAAUCCCAGAAGGAAAUUUUAAUCAAUGACAAGACCAAGCAACCGUGGCCCAGUCCAAGGUAACCCAAGACAGUAACUGGGCUGCACCGACCACCUUGUCAAUCUCAUAUUCUGGUCAGCUCCAAUGAACAGUGUCUGUGUGGACAAUGUUGGCUCUGCGGGAUGAAAGAUGGGUUGCAGAGAAAAGGGACCAAUGGAAUUGCAUUUAGCACAACACUCUGAUCGCUGAAGAAAUGAAAGGAGACAAGAAGUAGGAUGCUAGGAGUGUAUUGGUUUAACUUCAAAGGCUAGAAAAUUGAAGAUGAUUGGACAAGCUUUCCAUAAAUGCAACUGGGACAACCCAGUUUCAUGCUGCUAUAUGGCAUCGUGUCAUUGGUGUGUACUGAUUGCUGUAAAAGUGGAUUAAGACAUCUGAGGUGCUGGUUCCAAGGAUAUUCUUGCCCGAGUUAUGAUGCCAAACUGACCAAGUCCUCCAAGAACACUGUGAAAUAGGUCGCUAUUUUGCUUCUCCGAGCAAUUUAGUACUUCCCCUUUUCCUGCACUCAGUUUCAGUAAUUUUACAUAAGGAUUUGUGCGAUACACAUGAUUUUUUUUUCAUGCUAUUUUUUCAUAUUUGUGUGUGCUUGUGAACCCUCGUGUUUUAUUUUUGUAAUUGAACAUCAAAUUAUUGGCAAUGGUCAAAGUAUCUUAUGUGGAACCAAGGUCUAGCACAGCAUGCAUAGCAAGGACGUCAUAAAUACUUCACUCGACCCUGGUCCCAUUAUGCCUAGAUUGAAAUUAUCCAUUUGUGAUGCGUACUGUGUUAUUGUUUUUCCCUUCUUUUUUAAUCUAUUUUCGAAAUUUUACUAAUCUUACUUUAACGAACCUGUAACAACUUCCAUCUGGUGGACAUUACUGAUCUGAGGGCCAUGCCGAAAUGCCUGCCCACUAACCCCAGCAUUAGACAAAGUACCACCAACAGUUAAAUGUAAGUAGUCUGUCCAUGAUUUUGGUGCUAACCCAUACUCCAGGCAUUCACGCAGGAUAUCUAUCCAUAACUCACCGGCAGAGGCAUCCACAUAUGGAUUGUUUCCAGUGUAGACAUGCAUUUUAGGGCCUUGGAGUGAUUCCAUGUUGAUUACAACUCCUUGGUGGGCUUGUGCCUGACCCUGGAGUGAGUGGCUGUGACCUCUAGCUGCAACUGUGAGCUCUGAAUUCGGACCCAUCUGCCAGAUAUGCCUUAUUGUAGUGGCAAUAUCAGAAACCGACUUUGGAUAUAGUACUGCCAAAGGGAGUAGCUGAAACCUAUUGCCGAAGUCUUUGGCUGCAUGGUGAACUUCAUCAAAGCUGAAAUGACCAUCAACGGAUAGGGUUCUCAAUGAAGAAGGGUUGCUGGAAAAACAAAGCUUGAAAGUUGAGGAGACGAAGGUGUUAAGCUGGUUUUCCUGCGCGUUUGUUAGCAAAAAGGCUAAAGGAGUGGUAUGGAGGAGCCAAGGAAAUGGAGGGUCGAGGGGAGAAUUUAAAGGUGAAGAUCUUGGAUGGCUGAGUCAACCAAUAUUCAGUUUAAAGAAUCCGUAUGAAGACUGCCUACUUGUUAGGACUUGCUUUUGGUUCUCCUUUUUGUGCUCUUUUAUUUAUAACAGCAACCAUCAAACACAGAUGCCAAGUUGAAGAGAAAAGUCACAAGAAAGAAGAUUUCACAAAUCUUUGCACUUUUUUCCAACAGUUGCAACCACAAUCUCACCUUUUCACCAAAGACAAACUUGUCUAGAAAUUUAUCUCACUUACCAUGUUAAGGAAACGUUUUCCUAUAUCUAGAAAAUGGAAAUACCCAAUGGCUUCACGGUAUGCGUAUCUCCACUGCCUCUGAUGACAGGUAUGCCCAUACCUAUGUCUCUCGUACAUGAAUUAUUAUAGGCUAUGUUUUUGUCGCUGUCCGAAUGUAAGCAUCGCGUAUCUGCAUUGAGAUCAGAUGAGAGCCUACGGGCCUCCCUUGGAUUUAUUUGAAGGGGAGGGAUGAUCAGGUGGGGUAUUUAUGGGUCCAUAUAACACGUGAAAUGCUAAUCUUUGUGUGCUUUGUGGGGUGAAGGGUUAUGAUUAGUCAUGUUGGGACCCUUUUGAACCAGUUUGAAGAGGUAGGAAGAAGAGCAGAGUAGAUGGGGAGGACAGAUUGAGGGAAGCACUGAAAGACUCUUCUACUUCCUCUCUGUUGUUUAUUGUUUUGAAGCCUAAGUUCCCAGCAAACGGACAAGUCCGAAGGAUUCUCUUGUUUAUUUGUUUGCAAGUUCAGUUGAAUUACGCUAGUGCAAUUAUUGCCUUAA
Long non-coding RNA from Populus nigra (black poplar), 2355 nucleotides. RefSeq lists it as uncharacterized. NCBI's taxonomy places the organism in Eukaryota, Viridiplantae, Streptophyta, Magnoliopsida, Malpighiales, Salicaceae. The transcript is spliced from 6 exons. The record is from RefSeq and is a predicted model, not a curated record.